This 254-nucleotide ribosomal RNA is filed under the name uncultured bacterium. RNAcentral describes it as "partial 16S ribosomal RNA". It matches the Rfam family "Bacterial small subunit ribosomal RNA", at positions 524 to 776 of the family's 1533-position model. The record is from RNAcentral.
UACGGGGGGAGCAAGCGUUGUUCGGAUUUACUGGGCGUAAAGGGCGCGUAGGCGGUCAGCACAAGUCAGUUGUGAAAUCUCCGGGCUUAACUCGGAAAGGUCAACUGAUACUGUGCGACUAGAGUGCGGAAGGGGCAACUGGAAUUCUUGGUGUAGCGGUGAAAUGCGUAGAUAUCAGGAGGAACACCGAUGGCGAAGGCAGUUCUCUGGGCCGUAACUGACGCUGAGGAGCGAAAGCGUGGGGAGCGAACAGG